This 2900-nucleotide ribosomal RNA is filed under the name Klebsiella pneumoniae. Its description in RNAcentral is "bacterial LSU rRNA". It matches the Rfam family "Bacterial large subunit ribosomal RNA". The record is from RNAcentral. Lineage: Bacteria; Pseudomonadati; Pseudomonadota; Gammaproteobacteria; Enterobacterales; Enterobacteriaceae.
UUAAGCGACUAAGCGUACACGGUGGAUGCCCUGGCAGUCAGAGGCGAUGAAGGACGUGCUAAUCUGCGAAAAGCGUCGGUAAGGUGAUAUGAACCGUUACAGCCGGCGAUGUCCGAAUGGGGAAACCCAGUGCAAUUCGUUGCACUAUCGUUAACUGAAUACAUAGGUUAACGAAGCGAACCGGGGGAACUGAAACAUCUAAGUACCCCGAGGAAAAGAAAUCAACCGAGAUUCCCCCAGUAGCGGCGAGCGAACGGGGAGCAGCCCAGAGUCUGAAUCAGCUUGUGUGUUAGUGGAACGGUCUGGAAAGUCCGACGGUACAGGGUGAUAGUCCCGUACACCAAAAUGCACAGGCUGUGAACUCGAAGAGUAGGGCGGGACACGUGGUAUCCUGUCUGAAUAUGGGGGGACCAUCCUCCAAGGCUAAAUACUCCUGACUGACCGAUAGUGAACCAGUACCGUGAGGGAAAGGCGAAAAGAACCCCGGCGAGGGGAGUGAAAAAGAACCUGAAACCGUGUACGUACAAGCAGUGGGAGCACCUUCGGGUGUGACUGCGUACCUUUUGUAUAAUGGGUCAGCGACUUAUAUUCUGUAGCAAGGUUAACCGUAUAGGGGAGCCGCAGGGAAACCGAGUCUUAACUGGGCGUUAAGUUGCAGGGUAUAGACCCGAAACCCGGUGAUCUAGCCAUGGGCAGGUUGAAGGUUGGGUAACACUAACUGGAGGACCGAACCGACUAAUGUUGAAAAAUUAGCGGAUGACUUGUGGCUGGGGGUGAAAGGCCAAUCAAACCGGGAGAUAGCUGGUUCUCCCCGAAAGCUAUUUAGGUAGCGCCUCGUGAACUCAUCUUCGGGGGUAGAGCACUGUUUCGGCUAGGGGGUCAUCCCGACUUACCAACCCGAUGCAAACUACGAAUACCGAAGAAUGUUAUCACGGGAGACACACGGCGGGUGCUAACGUCCGUCGUGAAGAGGGAAACAACCCAGACCGCCAGCUAAGGUCCCAAAGUCAUGGUUAAGUGGGAAACGAUGUGGGAAGGCACAGACAGCCAGGAUGUUGGCUUAGAAGCAGCCAUCAUUUAAAGAAAGCGUAAUAGCUCACUGGUCGAGUCGGCCUGCGCGGAAGAUGUAACGGGGCUAAACCAUGCACCGAAGCUGCGGCAGCGACACUAUGUGUUGUUGGGUAGGGGAGCGUUCUGUAAGCCUGCGAAGGUGUGCUGUGAGGCAUGCUGGAGGUAUCAGAAGUGCGAAUGCUGACAUAAGUAACGAUAAAGCGGGUGAAAAGCCCGCUCGCCGGAAGACCAAGGGUUCCUGUCCAACGUUAAUCGGGGCAGGGUGAGUCGACCCCUAAGGCGAGGCCGAAAGGCGUAGUCGAUGGGAAACAGGUUAAUAUUCCUGUACUUGGUGUUACUGCGAAGGGGGGACGGAGAAGGCUAUGUUAGCCGGGCGACGGUUGUCCCGGUUUAAGCAUGUAGGCUGGUUAUCCAGGCAAAUCCGGAUAAUCAAGGCUGAGGUGUGAUGACGAGGCACUACGGUGCUGAAGUAACAAAUGCCCUGCUUCCAGGAAAAGCCUCUAAGCAUCAGGUAACAUCAAAUCGUACCCCAAACCGACACAGGUGGUCAGGUAGAGAAUACCAAGGCGCUUGAGAGAACUCGGGUGAAGGAACUAGGCAAAAUGGUGCCGUAACUUCGGGAGAAGGCACGCUGGUGUGUAGGUGAAGUCCCUGCGGAUGGAGCUGAGACCAGUCGAAGAUACCAGCUGGCUGCAACUGUUUAUUAAAAACACAGCACUGUGCAAACACGAAAGUGGACGUAUACGGUGUGACGCCUGCCCGGUGCCGGAAGGUUAAUUGAUGGGGUUAUCCGUAAGGAGAAGCUCUUGAUCGAAGCCCCGGUAAACGGCGGCCGUAACUAUAACGGUCCUAAGGUAGCGAAAUUCCUUGUCGGGUAAGUUCCGACCUGCACGAAUGGCGUAAUGAUGGCCAGGCUGUCUCCACCCGAGACUCAGUGAAAUUGAACUCGCUGUGAAGAUGCAGUGUACCCGCGGCAAGACGGAAAGACCCCGUGAACCUUUACUAUAGCUUGACACUGAACAUUGAGCCUUGAUGUGUAGGAUAGGUGGGAGGCUUUGAAGCGUGGACGCCAGUCUGCGUGGAGCCAACCUUGAAAUACCACCCUUUAAUGUUUGAUGUUCUAACGUUGGCCCCUGACCGGGGUUGCGGACAGUGUCUGGUGGGUAGUUUGACUGGGGCGGUCUCCUCCCAAAGCGUAACGGAGGAGCACGAAGGUUAGCUAAUCCUGGUCGGACAUCAGGAGGUUAGUGCAAUGGCAUAAGCUAGCUUGACUGCGAGCGUGACGGCGCGAGCAGGUGCGAAAGCAGGUCAUAGUGAUCCGGUGGUUCUGAAUGGAAGGGCCAUCGCUCAACGGAUAAAAGGUACUCCGGGGAUAACAGGCUGAUACCGCCCAAGAGUUCAUAUCGACGGCGGUGUUUGGCACCUCGAUGUCGGCUCAUCACAUCCUGGGGCUGAAGUAGGUCCCAAGGGUAUGGCUGUUCGCCAUUUAAAGUGGUACGCGAGCUGGGUUUAGAACGUCGUGAGACAGUUCGGUCCCUAUCUGCCGUGGGCGCUGGAGAAUUGAGGGGGGCUGCUCCUAGUACGAGAGGACCGGAGUGGACGCAUCACUGGUGUUCGGGUUGUCAUGCCAAUGGCACUGCCCGGUAGCUAAAUGCGGAAGAGAUAAGUGCUGAAAGCAUCUAAGCACGAAACUUGCCCCGAGAUGAGUUCUCCCUGAGACUAUAAGUCUCCUGAAGGAACGUUAAAGACGAUGACGUUGAUAGGCCGGGUGUGUAAGCGCAGCGAUGCGUUGAGCUAACCGGUACUAAUGAACCGUGAGGCUUAACCUU